Long non-coding RNA from Hyaena hyaena (striped hyena), 1753 nucleotides. RefSeq lists it as uncharacterized. Lineage: Eukaryota; Metazoa; Chordata; Mammalia; Carnivora; Hyaenidae. The record is from RefSeq and is a predicted model, not a curated record. The transcript has 4 exons.
ACGGGGCGCCCCAGGGGCAGCCGAGGGGUGCGGACGCGGGCUCGGUACCCCGGCAGGGACGAUGCUCUGGGGGCUGCGGGGGUGGGCACCGUGCGGGGCGGGGCCUCAGCGGGUGGGGGCGGGGCCUGCUUCCUGAGCCCCACCCCCGCCCCCCUGCCCGCCUAGGCUUCCUUCCUGGGGGGGCUCUGCUCCUACGGUUCCUACCCCCCUGCCCCGCGCCGGGGUCCCCGUGCCCGCAGCCACCCCCUUCUCGGACCAGUGUCUUCGGGGAGCUUUGGCUCUCCCUGGGCCCCCCUCCGCCUCUCCGGGCUCCCCGCCCUGGGUCAGUCCUCCGCAGAGAUCCCGCCAGAGCCUUCGCCAAAGCCUCCGACGGGGCUGCCGCCGGCUCAGCCCUGGUCCCCUGCCCAUCCCCCCGGCGAAGCUCCGCAAGGGGAACCACUUUAACUUCUUACUCCAGCACCCCACCUGCCAGCAAGUGUCAUCACAGCCGCCAGGCCAGCCAGUGGGAUGUGUCAUCGCUCGGGACCCCGGCAGGUCACCUCCACAGUGGCCACCUGCAUCGUGGCACAACUCGGCCUCGAGGGUCUUUUCCUGCUAGGCUUAGGAUGGCCGCUUCCCCAAGCGGGUGACUCGCGGCCCUGGGCCCUGAAGGGGCGGGAGGCUGAGUGGGGCCUGUGGAGCAGGGGCCGCACCCCCCUCCCGGGGCCCCAACCACACCUGGGAAGUCCCACUGUGUUUUGCCUUGGAGGGGAAGAAUUUUCCAGAACCGCAGUCUGUCUCCGGGAGGCGGAAUCUGCAGGCGCACGUUCCUCACGGUUGGUUCGGGGUCUGUCCGCAGCAGAGCUGUGCUGCGGGGGCUCCCAGCGCCCUCGAGCCCCCUCUGAGCGAGGCCCGGGUCCUUUUGCAUCUGUGUUCUCUUACAGAGAGUGACGCGCAGCCACUGUUGUUUUGAGCCCCCGCUGUGUGCCGUGGGCUGGGGGCUCCCCAGUUCAGACGGCCCGACAGCAGGCCUCUGGCUUCCAGCUGCACCCCCAGAGCGCAGAACCGCGUCCGGCCUGGGCUGGGCACUCACUGAACCCUUGUCAGUAGAUAACAGGGGCCCAAGAAGGGAAGCGCAGUGCCGGAAGUUGAAUGCGCCAACGGAGAAGCAGGCCUGGACCAGGCAGGAGGGGCCGUGCCGCCCCAGCCUGUCACAGCGCGUGCCACCUCACCCCCUGUGACCACUGCUGGCCUACAGGCCAGUCUGGUCAGUCGGGUCCUCACGCUGCGGCCCCCGAGGGCAAAGCUCAAGGGGCCAGCUCCACGGAGGGACGCAUCAGGAAGUGACGGAAGGAUGGACAGUGGGCCCCCUCUCCUUGGGAAGGCAAAGUUACUGGUGGCCUCUCUUCCACUCCAGCACCCCACCUCAGUCAGCUCCAAAUGCUGACCCUGACUCACCCGCUUGAACCCGAAGACACGCCCUCACAUUGUAGGGGCUGAGGGCGGAAGAGGAUCUCGGAGGGACAGGACCCUGUGAUCAUAACUGUGAUGGCUGAUGAGAGAAUGGAGGCUUAGAGAUAUUGUGUGAGCUGAAAAGUGGCAGAGGUUGGAAUGUGGGAGCUGUGCCCAGGAGCAAUUAUCUCUGACACAUUAUUUUGUGUGAAAUCACUUUAGCUGCCAUUAGCUGAUAAAGCCGGAAUAAAGGAGGGUCCAUUAACCAGCGCUGACCUCUUGGCCUCUGGGGCUCCCCGGGAGGGUAACAGAGGGACCUGCC